RNAcentral lists this unclassified non-coding RNA (299 nucleotides) under [Candida] sp. CLIB 1744. RNAcentral's name for it is "Candida sp. CLIB 1744 sequence contains ITS1, 5.8S rRNA gene and ITS2". The stretch from base 87 to 233 matches the Rfam family "5.8S ribosomal RNA". Lineage: Eukaryota; Fungi; Ascomycota; Saccharomycetes; Saccharomycetales. The record is from RNAcentral.
AUACGGGGUGAGCGCGGCGUGGCCGAGCAGGCAUUUGUGCCUCAACACAAGAACGGCUUUUCGAAGCAGUAACCUGUAUAGUAUACAACUUUCAACAACGGAUCUCUUGGUUCUCGCAUCGAUGAAGAGCGCAGCGAAAUGCGAUACGUAAUGUGAAUCGCCGUGGAUCAUCGAGUUCUUGAACGCACAUUGCACUGCGGAGUAUGCUCCGCAGUAGGGAGGCCUGAGUGGGGGAGCAAUUUGUAGCUGGACGAAGGAUUCGGCCGAAAGCGCAGAUAUAAAGUAGCGGCUCCCCUCAG